ACAUCCAGCGAACUUGGCAGAGAUGCCUUGGUGCCUUCGGGAACGCUGAGACAGGUGCUGCAUGGCUGUCGUCAGCUCGUGUUGUGAAAUGUUGGGUUAAGUCCCGNAACGAGCGCAACCCUUAUCCUUUGUUGCCAGCGAUUCGGUCGGGAACUCAAAGGAGACUGCCGGUGAUAAACCGGAGGAAGGUGGGGAUGACGUCAAGUCAUCAUGGCCCUUACGAGUAGGGCUACACACGUGCUACAAUGGCGCAUACAAAGAGAAGCGACCUCGCGAGAGCAAGCGGACCUCAUAAAGUGCGUCGUAGUCCGGAUCGGAGUCUGCAACUCGACUCCGUGAAGUCGGAAUCGCUAGUAAUCGUGGAUCAGAAUGCCACGGUGAAUACGUUCCCGGGCCUUGUACACACCGCCCGUCACACAUGGGAGUGGGUUGCAAAAGAAGUAGGUAGCUUAACCUCCGGGAGGGCGCUUACCACUUUGUGAUUCAUGACUGGGGUGAAGUCGUAACAAGGUAGGCGUAGCGAG
RNAcentral lists this ribosomal RNA (524 nucleotides) under uncultured bacterium. RNAcentral describes it as "bacterial SSU rRNA". It matches the Rfam family "Bacterial small subunit ribosomal RNA", at positions 984 to 1509 of the family's 1533-position model. The record is from RNAcentral.